UAGCCAAGGCUACAAUCUUACUAUAGAUAUACAUAUAGUAAAAAUAGUCCUAUAGUUUUAUAUUCUGGUUUUUGUCUAACAUAGUUGCUUUUAGUUACUUUAAAUGUUUAAGUUGCAUGAUCUUUCAGCCAAUGUAUUUAGCAUUAAUGGAAUGAAUCAACUGUUUCUAGUUUUAUAUAGACAUAUGCUGAUAUAUAGAGAAAAUCUUUUAGCUGGCUUGA
Molecule: unclassified non-coding RNA, 221 nt
Filed under: Hevea brasiliensis (rubber tree)
Lineage: Eukaryota; Viridiplantae; Streptophyta; Magnoliopsida; Malpighiales; Euphorbiaceae
Source: RNAcentral